Molecule: ribosomal RNA, 315 nt
Filed under: uncultured bacterium
Lineage: Bacteria
Description: bacterial SSU rRNA
Rfam family: Bacterial small subunit ribosomal RNA
Source: RNAcentral
GAUAAACGCUGGCGGCGCACAUAAGACGUGCAAGUCGAACGGACUUAACCAUUAGUUUACUAUUGGAGCGGUUAGUGGCGGACUGGUGAGUAACACGUAAGCAACCUGCCUAUCAGAGGGGAACAACAGUUAGAAAUGACUGCUAAUACCGCAUAUGCCUUAAUUAUCACAUGAUAAUAGAGGGAAAGGAACAAUCCGCUGAUAGAUGGGCUUGCGUCUGAUUAGAUAGUUGGUAAGGUAACGGCUUACCAAGUCGACGAUCAGUAGCCGACCUGAGAGGGUGAUCGGCCACACUGGGACUGAGACACGGCCCAG